Molecule: non-coding RNA, 23 nt
Filed under: Arabidopsis thaliana (thale cress)
Lineage: Eukaryota; Viridiplantae; Streptophyta; Magnoliopsida; Brassicales; Brassicaceae
Source: RNAcentral
AAGGACAGCUGAGGACCACUCUC